RNAcentral lists this ribosomal RNA (800 nucleotides) under uncultured bacterium. RNAcentral's name for it is "bacterial SSU rRNA". It matches the Rfam family "Bacterial small subunit ribosomal RNA", at positions 59 to 826 of the family's 1533-position model. The record is from RNAcentral.
CAGUCGAACGAAACUUCUUUAUCACCGAGUGCUUGUACUCACCGAUAAAGAGUUGAGUGGCGAACGGGUGAGUAACACGUGGGCAACCUGCCCAAAAGAGGGGGAUAACACUUGGAAACAGGUGCUAAUACCGCAUAACCAUAGUUACCGCAUGGUAACUAUGUAAAAGGUGGCUAUGCUACCGCUUUUGGAUGGGCCCGCGGCGCAUUAGCUAGUUGGUGGGGUAAAGGCUUACCAAGGCAAUGAUGCGUAGCCGAACUGAGAGGUUGAUCGGCCACAUUGGGACUGAGACACGGCCCAAACUCCUACGGGAGGCAGCAGUAGGGAAUCUUCCACAAUGGGCGAAAGCCUGAUGGAGCAACGCCGCGUGGGUGAAGAAGGUCUUCGGAUCGUAAAACCCUGUUGUUAGAGAAGAAAGUGCGUGAGAGUAACUGUUCACGUUUCGACGGUAUCUAACCAGAAAGCCACGGCUAACUACGUGCCAGCAGCCGCGGUAAUACGUAGGUGGCAAGCGUUAUCCGGAUUUAUUGGGCGUAAAGGGAACGCAGGCGGUCUUUUAAGUCUGAUGUGAAAGCCUUCGGCUUAACCGGAGUAGUGCAUUGGAAACUGGGAGACUUGAGUGCAGAAGAGGAGAGUGGAACUCCAUGUGUAGCGGUGAAAUGCGUAGAUAUAUGGAAGAACACCAGUGGCGAAAGCGGCUCUCUGGUCUGUAACUGACGCUGAGGUUCGAAAGCGUGGGUAGCAAACAGGAUUAGAUACCCUGGUAGUCCACGCCGUANACGAUGAAUGCUAAGUGUUGG